UACGAGAGGCCCAAACGUUAUUCGGAUUUACUGGGCUUAAAGAGUUCGUAGGCGGCGCAGAAAGUAAGGUGUGAAAGCCCUCGGCUCAACCGAGGAAUUGCGCCCUAAACUACUGUGCUUGAGGGACCUAGAGGUGAGCAGAACUGAUGGUGGAGCGGUGAAAUGCGUUGAUAUCAUCAGGAAUACCGGAGGCGAAGGCGGCUCACUGGGGGUCUUCUGACGCUGAGGAACGAAAGCCAGGGGAGCGAACGGG
This 253-nucleotide ribosomal RNA is filed under the name uncultured bacterium. RNAcentral describes it as "partial 16S ribosomal RNA". It matches the Rfam family "Bacterial small subunit ribosomal RNA", at positions 524 to 776 of the family's 1533-position model. The record is from RNAcentral.